Molecule: ribosomal RNA, 797 nt
Filed under: bacterium
Lineage: Bacteria
Description: bacterial LSU rRNA
Rfam family: Bacterial large subunit ribosomal RNA
Source: RNAcentral
GGCCAAGCGCGGAAGGGCGCGUGGUGGAUGCCUAGGCGCGGGCAGGCGAUGAAGGACGUGGCAAGCUGCGAUAAGCCGAGGGGAGCCGCAGGCGGGCUGAGAUCCUCGGAUGUCCGAAUGGGGGAACCCGGCGGGCGUAGUGGCCCGUCAUCCUGGGGCGGAAGUCUCAGGAGGCCAACCCGGGGAACUGAAACAUCUCAGUACCCGGAGGAAGAGAAAUCAAGCGAGAUUCCCUGAGUAGCGGCGAGCGAAAGGGGAGGAGCCCAAACCGUAGGUCGUUGAGGCCUGCGGGGUUGUGGGGCCGGUGUGGGGCGUAGCCCGUCUCUUGUCGUAUGCGAGCCGAAGCGGUCUGGAACGACCCGCCGUAGGAGGUGAGAGCCCUGUAGGCGGAGCGUGCGGCGGGAGGUGGCACCGGUACCCGAGUAGGCCGGGGUUCGAGGAGCCCUGGCUGAAUCUGGGGGGACCACCCUCCAAGGCUAAAUACUCGCCCGCGACCGAUAGUGCACGAGUACCGUGAGGGAAAGGUGAAAAGAACGCCGGGAGGCGAGUGAAAGAGAACCUGAAACCACGUGCCUACAAGCGGUGGGAGCCUGGUAUGGUCCUUCGGGAUCGUGCUGGGUGACUGCGUGCCUUUUGCAUUAUGAUCCGGCGAGUUGUCCUCGCGGGCGAGGCUAAGGUGUUCAGCACCGGAGCCGGAGCGAACGCGAGUCUGAAGAGGGCGUGGCUCUCGUUGGAGAGCCGGAGUCCGCGGGGGCAGACCCGAAACCUCAGCGAUCUACCCAUGGCCAGGCUGAAGC